Molecule: unclassified non-coding RNA, 224 nt
Filed under: Hevea brasiliensis (rubber tree)
Lineage: Eukaryota; Viridiplantae; Streptophyta; Magnoliopsida; Malpighiales; Euphorbiaceae
Source: RNAcentral
UUCACUAAUACCUUGAUCCAUCUUCUUUCUGUUGCAAAUUCUCCUUCACUAGGCACCAUAGUCAUUGUGCGGUGAGAUCAGUUGGAGAAGCCUCAACCUCAACCAUGUCGAUCAUACUAGGAUUCCGGCAGCUAUGAACAGUGACGGAAGUUGAUCGACGAGUAGAUGGGGGCGAACUCGUCGGCCUCCGGGGAAUUCACGCGUUCGUUUGUCUUCUUAUUUAG